Molecule: ribosomal RNA, 478 nt
Filed under: uncultured bacterium
Lineage: Bacteria
Description: partial 16S ribosomal RNA
Rfam family: Bacterial small subunit ribosomal RNA
Source: RNAcentral
GACGAACGCUGGCGACGUGCUUAACACAUGCAAGUCGAACGGUAAGGCCCUUCGGGGUACACGAGUGGCGAACGGGUGAGUAACACGUGGGUGAUCUGCCCUGCACUUCGGGAUAAGCCUGGGAAACUGGGUCUAAUACCGGAUAGGACCCUGGGAUGCAUGUCCUGGGGUGGAAAGCUUUUGCGGUGUGGGAUGGGCCCGCGGCCUAUCAGCUUGUUGGGGGGGUGAUGGCCUACCAAGGCGACGACGGGUAGCCGGGCUGAGAGGGUGACCGGCCACGCUGGGACUGGGAUACGGCCCAGACUCCUACGGGAGGCAGCAGUGGGGAAUAGUGCACAAUGGGGGCAAGCCUGAUGCAGCGACGCCGCGUGAGGGAUGACGGCCUUCGGGUUGUAAACCUCUUUCAGCACCGACGAAGCGCAAGUGACGGUAGGUGCAGAAGAAGGACCGGCCAACUACGUGCCAGCCGCCGCCGUAA